Molecule: non-coding RNA, 761 nt
Filed under: unclassified sequences
Description: MISL RNA
Rfam family: MISL RNA
Source: Rfam by way of RNAcentral
AGAUAAUCCCAGGCGACUGGGAAAAGGUCGAGUCAGGCUGAUUGGCUCGGCCCCUCUGCUGCCGAACCGCAAGGUUCGAGCCCGGAGGCAAGAUUCACCAAGUCCUCUGGCUGUGUUCGCGCACGGCCAGUCAACGCGACAUAGGACUUCGGCAGUGAGGAGCGAUUAGAAGCCGCUCCGAGCUGAGUCAAGUAACUCAAGCUGGUUUCGAGCUCGAGUGAAUCGCAGUUACCGAGAAGGUAUCCGGUUGCUACUGCGCAUCAGCACGGGCGAAUGACUCUGGCGGUCCAGCAAAUGCGGGAUCUGCCAAACGAAAGACGCUGAAAGGCGCGACAAAAAGAGCGUUCGCACUGGGAAGGACACGUGAUCUCGGCAGGAUCCGUGAAAACCUUCCGAAACGCCAGCGAUGUUCAAAACGACACCGCGGGCCAGAGAAAGAAAAGCAACCUGAGAGAGCAGAGGCGAGACCCGUGGUACCGGGCGAACGUUCCGCCAAAAGCGGGAGCUGACCCGGCACUAAGCGGUCAAGACGCGGACAACAUUCUCAGACGCGCCUUGACCUGGUUCGCAGGCCGGUGGCGCAACCACCAGCCGAAGCGAGCUGAAAAGCCUCACUCGAAAUCCAGCGGCGGCAACGCCCUGGACGGCCCUGCUACGAGGCCGGACACUCCGCUUGCCGUGGAGAAUAGCGUCGGGAAGCCGGCAGCCCGCUUCGGCGUGGCGCCUAAUGCCGGCACGGGAAAGAGAGCGUGGCGCACUCC